GGUCUUCCCAAACUGUGUUUGUGAAUCAUCGUAAAAAUGCAGAUUCUUGUUCAGUAGGUCUGAACAUUUAAGACCUGAGAAAUUCACAUUCUAAAGGGCUCCCAGAUGAUGCUCGGGCCACCUGUCUACAAGCCACACUUUGAGUAGCAGGACAUUAUAUUAUUGACACAGCAAAUACAAACUGCUUAGUGAAUAAUAGGUGGUCAAUAAAUGUUUAUCACUUAAACACAAGUGAGGGGUUUCAUCUAAGGGAGUUCCCAUCCUGGCUUAGCGGAAAUGAAUCUGACUAGGAAUCAUGAAGUUGUGGGUUCGAUCCCUGGCCUCGCUCAGUGGGUUAAGGUCACAGACACAGCUUGGAUCUGCUGUGGCUUGGCAUAGGCCAGUGACUACAACUCCAAUAAGACCCCUAGUCUGGGAACCUCCUUAUACCGUGGGUACAGCCCUAAAAAGACAAAAAUAUAAAAGUAGAAAAGCCAAAUUACCAGUAGAUGAGAACCAGUAAUUUGAGUCUAUUAAGAUAAUUAAUGAUAAAGAAUUCUGGAAAGUUUGCUUCUUAGAGUAAAUUUGGUCCCGUUUGUCAAAAAAUUAAAAGUGACACUCAGUUAAAAUGUAAUACAUCAGUCUUGCAUUUCCUCUCUCCUCAUGAAGAGAGCAAGAAGACACUUAAAAGCUCACCCUUGGGAAAAUCUUUAAGCACCUCACCAAACUGAAAUCAACCAAGUCAAAAUGGAUGAGGAAUGUUUUACCUUCUUCCUUCUGCUCUUCAGCACAUCUUCUGCUGACACCGUUUUUCCACUUGUUGUUUCCUGCCACAUGGCGAUCCAUGUGCUCCCUGGCACCAAUUGUAGCCCUCAGUAGUCAUUCUUUAAAAGAAUUAGGCAAUUCCUCUCUCGUCUUUCUUUUUUUUUCUUUUUUUUUUUUUUGUCUUUUGUUUUUUGUCUUUAUAGGGCCGCACCCGCAGCAUAUGGUGGUUCCCAGGCUAGGGGUCUAAUCGGACCUGUUGCUGCUGGCCUAUGCCAUAGCACAGCAAUGCCAGUUCUGAGCCACAUCUGUGAUCUACACCACAGCUCAUGGCAAUGCUGGAUCCUUGACCCACUGAACGAGGCCAGAGAUGGAACUCGCAACCUCAUGGCUCCUGGUCGGAUUCGUUUCCGCUGCACCAGGACAGGAACUCCUCUCUCUCAUCUUUCUACUUGCAGUUCCUAUGAAAGAUUGUUUUCAAAGACCGUAUCACCAGGACAGUCUUUGAUAUAGAACUUGCACCCACUAUGUACAUAGGGGGCUAACAGCUAAAGGGCAACAAGUCUUUUUUCCUUUUAUCUCCCUCAAAGCAAAAUAAAUGCUUCAAAUAUGUGCUACUCUUUCAUGAUUUCUGCUAUAUUCACUUGCUUUAUUAUAAGGUUAAAAUUUUCUUUAAAGACUAUCUUUUAUUUAGAAAAUGUUAAACGAUAAAUUCAAUGAAAAUAAAUGUUACUGAUUUUUAGCUAGAUGCAAUUCCCCUCAGGGGAUCCAGAAGAUAAGGACUGAUUUAUUUGUUAAAAUAGGAGAUUGGCAAGUGGAAGUGGUAUUAAAUUCAUAAUGUACCAAAAGAGACUUUCUCCCUGACUUGAUCAAGGGAUUACAUGAGAAUAUGGUACCCAUCACAAGAGUCAAUGAUGUGUAAGGCUGUGAUAGUUUACCAAUGCCAGCCAUCUCUCUUACACAUAUCAUAUGUUAGGAAAAAUACUUCUAGAUCACAGAGAUUGAGUAAUCUGUGGGAAAUGUUGACUUCACAAGAAAGAAAGAGAGAAAGAAAGAAAGAAAGAGAAAGAAAGAGAGAGAGAAGGAAAGUCCUUGCAAGUUUGACAUUAACUGUUUAAAUCCAGAAUAUAAUUCUUUCUCUGUCUCACAGACAUGUACAGGAAAUAGUCUGGAUAUGUUUUCUUUCUUUUUAUCUUCUUUCUUCUCUUUCCCCCCCCAGAAUUUUAAGUAUUAUGAUGGAAACUUUAGUGUAAUGUAGAAUAAACCAUGAAUAUACAUAUUCAAAAUAUCUGAUCAAAAAAAUAAAUAAAAAGACCAAGCCACGCUGAUGGUUUACCUGGCCCAAUAAGGCAAUAGGUUCAACAACAUUCUAUAAUUCUAUAACUUGAUGCGAAACAUGCAUUCCAAGUAACACAGGAUCAGUAGUACUAUUGUAACACAGAAAGUUGACCCACCUCAAUUACUUUGGAGAAUACAAUUCAGUUGAAAUGAAAAAAGCAGAAAGAAGAGAAAACUAGUUCUGUAACGAUCUUUGCUUUGAUGUUAGAGUCAGAAACUAGUAUUUUCCACAGGGAAAGGAAAUCAGAGGAAAGGGAAUGAAUGGGAUUGCAGGCUUCCUUAGGAAGACAUCCUAAGGAAGAUUUCUCUGUUCUGUCAUUGCCCGGUUGGAGAUUGAUAAGGUUAGAUGUAGUUGUGUUUGUAGAUGUAUAUACAUAGCUAGAGAUAGCUGGAAUACUUCUGUAGAUGCAGAUAUUCAAGGUCCCACUUCUGCCUCUGCCUCCUAUCUGUGCCCAUGACUUGAUGAAUGAUUAAAAUGGAUUCUGCUUUUUGUUUCAGUCUUGACCAACUCUUUAUGGAUGACUUAUUUAAUGAGUCAGGCUUGUUUCCUUUUCCUUUUCUUCUCUUCCUUCUUUUCCCCCCUUGUCGGCAGAAGCCAGACAGGUUUUGAAGUACUAAUGAUGAUUAGUUCAUUUAAGCCAGCACAGACCAACAAUGGGUUUGAAAUUUUAAUCAGAUGAAGGGCUUAUUGCUCAAAAGCCCACAGAAUAGCAAAUGAACCAGGAAAGGAAAGCAAGGAGAAAAAGAGGCUGAGUGGAGAUUUGACACAAGCAUUUUCAGCUGCUGGGCCUCUUUGAUGUGUGAGUGGGACAGAUGCGCUGCACUUCUCCUGAGAGAACCCUCUUUGUAUACAAUAGUGUGCUGAUUAAUAUCACUUCACUCUUCCCUUGAGAGGAGCAAGGCUGGCUCUUAGUCAUUCUCUUAUUGGGCACCAUUGGGCCCACUUCUCUUUCCUGCUGGUAGGAAACUGCCAUUCAUUCUCUCUCCUCUUAAUCUAAAAGCUCAGGCUCACAGAAAACCCAUCUUUCUUCUGUCAUCACAGCCCCAAAGUACGUGUCUUAUGGUGGGGUCAUUUACAUCCUACACCAUUGAUUCCAAGUAUAUGCAUGAGGCAACUGGUUAGGUCAAGGAAACCCCUCUCCAGUAUUAUACUGUGCUCUAGAGCAGAAGGUCCAAUAGGACUUUUUGCAGUGAUGGAUAUAUUCUGUAUCUGUGCUGUUCAGGGUGGUGGCUAAGAGCCACAUGGGCUAGCAGACCCUUGAAACGAGGCUAAUGCUACAGAAGAAAUGAAUUUCAAUGUAAUUUAAUUUUAAUUAAUUGAAAUACCAGUGGCAUUAACACCACCUAGGAACUGACUAGAAAUGCAGAAUUUCAGGCUCCACCCCAGACUUUCUCUGUUGAAAUCUGUAUUUAAGGAGAUUCCUCUUGGAUGAAUUGUAAGCAUGUUUAAUUUUGAGUAGCUUUGCUCUGGAACAUGUGUUGACUCCUGAAUAUACUAAAUCUGACAGUUUUCAUCAAAUGACACAGUAAUAAUUCUUAACUGUCUAGUAAUUUUCCUCCUUAAAAAAUACUUUCCUUAAAAUAGGAUAGAGUCAUUCUUUGUUUCGAGGGAAGCCAAAGAUGAUAAUUGGGGUCUCAUGUUUGAGGAAGCGAUGGUGUUGGCUCUUCAAAGGAAAUGGAAAUCUGUUAGGAAAAAUGCUGGGGAUAUAUUAGGUUCCCCAAACCAUAACAUCAUCCAAUUAACAUUUGUCUAGUCCUUUACCAUUUACAAAACACUUUUAUAGGUGUUAUGUUAGAUGAGUACUUUAUGCCCAUUUGAAGUUGAGGAAAUGGUCUUGGAUGGCUUAUCCUUUGAGCAUAGUUAUUGAACAUAGUCACACAACCAGUGAGUGACAUAUUUAUGGCCCAAUUCCAGACAGCUUCUUGGGUCUUUCUACUCUACAACAAAAUGAGAGGAAAUGGCAUCUCUUUGAAAACCUCAUGGUGAUAGAAUUUGGGAGCUAGUUAGAUGAGACAAUAUUAAGCUGCGUCUAAGCCAUAAAAAGGAAACAAAACUAUAGACCCUUCUUUCUUCCUUCUCUCAACAUAAAAUGUCUUCUAUGUUAUAGCUGCUAUAGACAUUUGGAUUUUAUAUCUCAUUUACAUAUAAUCGAUUACAUGUCACCUUUCUUCCUCUUAUGAAGAGUGAUAUAUUGUGAUUUUUUGACACAAUAUUGAAAGUUAUUUGAAAAGUCAAUUGCAUUUUAUUCAACAGGUAUUUCAAGUAGUUUCCAAAUGAGAAAAACUCAGAAGGCUAUAACUCUCGUUUACCGAGUUAUUAAAGGUCAUUGUUGGUGCAUUCAAUUUCGGGAAAAUGAGAGCUGGGCAAGUUUCUUAAAUCUGAAAGAGGAAAUUUAUGGGCCUAUAAAUAAAAGAGGUACCUAUGGGGAAAUUAAUAAACUUACAGAAGUUGUUACCUCAAGUGUUUGUAUAGGCUGAUGUGAUAGCAACAAUUAAAUGUGUUUAUAUAAAUUUGUUGAUGACAAAUUGGGAUUGAGCCAUUAGAUAAAUCUUUGAUGCAGUAUUUGAUGCAUGCCCCACAUUUAAAUGCUGAUAUGACAGGGCAAGAAUUUUUUUCUAUAAAUCAUUCUGAAUUGCCUCUGUCCAAUUUAAUUACUUGCCUAAGUAUACCAGGAAUCAGACUUUGUGGUAUUUCCUAUGGUCCCAGUAAAAGUUCUAAUGCAAAUUAGAUAUUUUAUUAUGUUAAUAUGUCCUAGAGAAUUAUAUUUAUUAAGCUUGCAGAACAGUUUCUGAAUUUGAUUCCUGCCACCAAAACUUACACUGGCAAACAGAGUCUUCAAUAUUUUUUCCUGUCCUUCAAGGCCUCCAUCAGACUGAGAUAAGCAUGUGGAAAUUGAUCAGAGUGAUUUUGUUAUUAUUUGCCGUUCUUCCACCCUUGCAUUGUCUCCAUAGAACCCUUUGAUUAACUUAUCACUCUGACAUUUUAGGGGUUCCCUCACUCCAGAACCGAGAGGGUAUCACCCACCAACACAGCAGGCUUUCAACAGAGCAGAAUGAGACCUUCAUGACAGAUUUAAUGAGGAGAAAGCCCAAUCUUCACUUCUUGCUGAUUUCCCAGCUGUGGGAUGAUGUUUGAUUAUUUCUAAUACACCAGUGCUUUAAGUUCCAUCUGCUGCUGUCACUACCACCACUUUUGUUGGGCAGCUCUCUGCUGGUUACCCUGUUCCUCUGUGACAUUCUGGCCCUGAGAAAAUGAAAAUGUCAAACUCAGGUAUCCUCUCUGCUUCUGCUAGAGAGAAAUAUCUUAGGCAGGAUAUGACACUAGCUUUGCUGAAUAAUUGGGGUUAAAAAGAAAACCUAUUUCUGAUUUUCUAAAAUAACACAAUGUAUAUAUUAUUCAUUUCUUAUAAAGUGUCAGUGAAGAUUUCAUUCUGCUUUUUCUUAGAUCCCUCUGUUUUCAUCUGAUUGGAAAUUUGGGAAGGGUGUCCGGGGGUGAAAGUUAGCAUUCCUUCUUUCCCAAGAAUAUAAAAUUUUCAGCCAGCCAAGCACUUAUUUUUUAACAUUUGAUAUUAGGUACAAAGAAGCACUAAAGUUGUUCAACUUGGUCAUUUACUUAACCUCUCUGUGCCUCAGUGUCUGCAUCUGUAAAAUGGAAAUAAUAAUAUUUACCUCAACUGGUUGCUGACAGAAAAAAAUGAGAUUACUACAUAGAAAGUAAUUAAGGCACAGUUUGUAUCAUAUAGCAAGCUAAUAAAUUUGAUAUUGAUUUAUCAUUUUAAGAGUAUUUCAAAUAUUCUCUAAUAGUCAAGUGCUUAUUCAAUUUUUUUUUUUUUUUUUUUUUGCUUUUAAGCAGCAUGAAUGUUAUACUUAAGUUUUCUUUGGCUGUGUUUUUUUGUUUGUUUUGUUUUUGUUUUUUAAAUCCCUGGAGUUCCUGCUGUAGCUCAGCAGAAAUGAAUCUGACUAGCAUCCAUGAGGACACAGGUUCAAUCCCUGACCUUGCUCAGUGGGUUAAGGAUCCAGCGUUGUGUAGGUCGCAGAUUCGGCUCGAAUCCCACUUUGCUGUGGCUGUGGAGAAGGCCAGCAGCUUUGGUUCCCAUUCGACCCCUAGCCUGGGGAACCUCCAUAUGCAGCCCUAAAACAACAACAACAACAACAAAAAUCCCUAAGUGACUGGAAAGAAACUCACAACUCAGCACAUUCAAUUGGCAUAUCUUAAGACCUUGAAAACCUUAGAGGAACAAUUUCUCACCAAGAAGCUGGUUAAAGAACAAGAGCAAAAGCUGCUGUUUCAUGCUGUUAUGGAAGAUAUAUUGACCUUCACCCCAACAAAUGACAUUUUUCUGGGACAGUCAUUUUACACUAGCUAUCUUAUAUUAGUAAAUAUCUAAAGAGAUUAAAGUGAAAUAAAAUCUAAUAUUUAUUAGCAUUAUCAUUUCAUGACAUAGAAAUCUUAAAUGGAUAUUUUGUAAAGCCAAUAUAGCCUGUUGUUCUUUGGCUUAAUAGGGUGAUAAAUAUUGAAUUGCCAUGACUUGUUUUAUAUUUAAUAUACUGAUUUUCAAAUGCUAUAUAUAUGAACUAUUAUUAUUCUUGGUCUUCUGAACACUUGAGGUCCAAGCUUGAAAUUUAUUUAUUUUUGUUUAUUGAUUUAUCUUUGUGGACACGCCUCACCAAACACACAUACAUGCACAUGGACACACAGUAUAGCACAGCAUAUUACAAAGAUGCUGAAUAUUUAUUGAAUGUCAGGAUAAACUUUCACAUUUCUGAACAUGUUUAUUAGUCACCCUCUUCCUUCCCUUAUUGUUGUUCAUUCAGUAAACAUCUGUUCAGCACCUACCACAUGCAGGGCAGAUGGUUAAGCCUUCUCUCUUGUUCUUUCUUUUUUUCUGCUUAAGGAAAUAUUUCUAGAAUGGACCAUACUCCCACUUCUGCCUUUAGCCUUGACCCUUUUUGAAUCCACCUCUUUCAGCCUCCCUGCAUUCACCGCUACCAUCUAACCAUGUAGCUUAUAGUGCUGGUAAGAAUGAAAUCUACCUGCUUUUUGAUUUUAUCUUCUCUCCUUUUCUCACUCCCAGCACUGUCUUCUGUUUCCUGCUAACCAAGAGUUCUAGAACUCCUACGUCUUCCUCUGUUCUAGUUCCUUCAGUGAGGCCUUUCCUAAAUCAAUAAUGUACCUCCCAAAGGCUCAGUUUCUCUCUACUUCUGUGUUGUUUUUUUUCUUUUAACAGAACCUAAUGUAUUGUAGGCCCCCAAAUGUCAUUAACAGCAAUAAUAAUGAAACUGCCAAAGCAAACAAAAAUUCGUCUGUUUACUCUGUGUAAUUCAUCUUUUCUACUUUAUUUGAUCAAAUAACCUUUCUAGUCAUUUUCACUUUCUUUUCAAAGAAACUUUCUCUCUUUUGGGGGUUCCUAAGUUCCAUGAGGUAUUGUUUGGAUUCCCAAAGCUGACAAGAAAGUACAAGUAGAACCCAUUGCUAUUUAACUUAAAGCUAUAGAAAUACAGGAAAUUUUAUUCUUUAACAUAUAAAAAUAGUUUUAAUUAUUGGGCUUUUUAUGAACCAGUUACCUUUAUAAGAGGACAUUAUUUCCUUAAUCCUAAUUAUAACUCCAUACAGUAGAUAUUAUUAAUCACACUUUCCAAAUGAAGAAACCAAAUCUCAUGGAAAUGAAUCAAUACACAGCUGGCAUCCUAACCAAGAUCUCCUGGCUUCAAAGCUUAGCCCAGUUAUUCUCAACGUUUAGUUCCUGAGUGUCCCAAAAUAUUUUAAAAUAUUCUAACUCCCAAAUCCUAUCAACAGGAGAUUCUUGUUUAAUAAAUUUAGUGUAUAAUCUCAGGACUUUCCUUUGAGAAUAUCAACUCUCUCUUCUAGAUUUUGAGUUUGGAGUUAAAAGCCAUAGAAUUUUACUGUAAUACAAUUUGAUAAUGUUUAGUCCCUAACCUGAUGAGCCCUAUAACAUAGCAGGUUAAAUAUUCACUGAAAAAAAUAAUGUGCUAUUGAAGGAGAAUAUAUCUAAUUGCCACUUUCCCAGACCAGUAGAAUCAUUUUGCAUGCAGUCAUCUUAACUUUGCCGAGUUUUCAAAGAGCAUUGUAAAAAUAUGUCUAUUAUCUCUACUGACUUAUUUUAAUACACACAUUAAUGAGGGGAUAAAAUAACCCAAUGAUAUAAUGUGAUAAUGUCAUCUAUGGCCUUGGAUAAGUCAAAAGUAGCUACUAUAAGAUUAGGGUUUUUGGAGUUCCCGUCGUGGCGCAGUGGUUAACGAAUCCGACUAGGAACCAUGAGGUUGCAGGUUCGAUCCCUGCCCUUGCUCAGUGGGUUAACGAUCUGGCGUUGCCAUGAUCUGUGGUGUAGGUUGCAGACGCGGCUUGGAUCUGGCGUUGCUGUGGCUCUGGUGUGGGCCAGCAGCUACAGCUCCAAUUAGACCCCUAGCCUGGGAACCUCCAUAUGCCGCAGGAACAGCCCAAGAAAUGGCAAAAA
This 8555-nucleotide long non-coding RNA is filed under the name Sus scrofa (pig). RNAcentral's name for it is "lncRNA (ENSSSCG00000059971.1)". Lineage: Eukaryota; Metazoa; Chordata; Mammalia; Artiodactyla; Suidae. The record is from RNAcentral.